RNAcentral lists this long non-coding RNA (815 nucleotides) under Cicer arietinum (chickpea). Its description in RNAcentral is "long non-coding RNA (CARI_LNC000487)". The record is from RNAcentral. Lineage: Eukaryota; Viridiplantae; Streptophyta; Magnoliopsida; Fabales; Fabaceae.
GAACAUUGGCAGUCUUUAUUUUAUAAUUUUUUUUUCCUAAUAAGUGUUUAUAUAUAGUUCUUAAUUUUGCAAACUCUUGUGACCUUCUUUAUUUGUGAAUAAAACAUCAACUUUAAGUGUAUCGACCAAUGUUAGUUUACAUGAUAAAUUUUUUUCAAUUACUCUCAUGAGUAAGAAAAAAUAAUAUUUAAAAAUAAAUUUGGUAGAAUUUUGAAUCAUAGUUAAACCAAAUUUGUGUUCUUUUUGCCCUUAAUACAAACAGUUAUAUAUUUAUAAAGUUCAUGUAGUUUAGGUUGCCAAUUUCAUUUGUUAAUAUAUUGGGUUAAAUACAUGAAACAACAAACACAUGAAUUGAACCCUCCCCUGCAAGUUUAAUAAUAAAUGUCAUUAUAAAGUUCUAAAAUUCUUAAACAUCAAAAGUUCUAAAUGAUACAUGUACAAAAAAUAGCCCACAAGAGAAUUGCAAGAGCAGAGGCCAUAGCAACCAUUGAAUAAUAGCCACAAAACCUUCCAAACCCUGAAUUAAUGUUGGAUGCGACAAAUGCAUUGGUUGCACCUGAGAAUGCAAAGAUUAUGCAAAUCAAGAAGGCAUGGAAUGUUGUUGGGCGACCCUUGAAGAUUACGGCAGGAACUGGGUUUUUGUCAAUGUACUCAUAAGGAACUAGAAUGAGAAUGUUGAUCGAUGUAAAACAGAGACCUAAUACACACUCUAGAAUGGUGUAGUGUGGAAUUUGAUUAUUGGUAUUCUCUUGGAAAGUCAUUGUGGUUAUUUAUCAGUUAAAUCAUAUUUGGAUGUAGGAGAUGUGGUGAAAUUU